GACUAACGCUGGCGGCGUGCCUAACACAUGCAAGUCGAACGGGGUCCUGGUUCGCCAGGGCCUAGUGGCAGACGGGUGAGUAACACGUAGGUAAUGUACCCUCUUGCUGGGGAUAUCUGUCCGAAAGGACAAUUAAUACCGAAUAUGCCAAUCCUAGGGCAUCUUGGGGUUGGCAAACUGGCAACGGGCGAGGGGAUCAGCCUGCGGACCAUCAGCUAGUUGGUGGGGUAAUGGCCUACCAAGGCGACGACGGUUAGCCGGUUUGAGAGGACGAUCGGCCACACUGGGACUGAAACACGGCCCAGACUCCUACGGGUGGCUG
Molecule: ribosomal RNA, 322 nt
Filed under: uncultured cyanobacterium
Lineage: Bacteria; Bacillati; Cyanobacteriota
Description: bacterial SSU rRNA
Rfam family: Bacterial small subunit ribosomal RNA
Source: RNAcentral